GACGAACGCUGGCGGCGUGCUUAACACAUGCAAGUCGAACGGAAAGGCCCUGCUUUUGUGGGGUGCUCGAGUGGCGAACGGGUGAGUAACACGUGAGUAACCUGCCCUUGACUUUGGGAUAACUUCAGGAAACUGGGGCUAAUACCGGAUAGGAGCUCCUGCUGCAUGGUGGGGGUUGGAAAGUUUCGGCGGUUGGGGAUGGACUCGCGGCUUAUCAGCUUGUUGGUGGGGUAGUGGCUUACCAAGGCUUUGACGGGUAGCCGGCCUGAGAGGGUGACCGGCCACAUUGGGACUAAGAUACGGCCCAGACUCCUACGGGAGGCAGCAGUGGGGAAUAUUGCACAGUGGGCGGAAGCCUGAUGCAGCAACGCCGCGUGCGGGAUGACGGCCUUCGGGUUGUAAACCGCUUUCGCCGGUGACGAAGCGUGAGUGACGGUAAUGGGUAAAGAAGCACCGGCUAACUACGUG
This 468-nucleotide ribosomal RNA is filed under the name uncultured bacterium. RNAcentral's name for it is "partial 16S ribosomal RNA". It matches the Rfam family "Bacterial small subunit ribosomal RNA", at positions 28 to 507 of the family's 1533-position model. The record is from RNAcentral.